GGUUCUUCGGACCACCACGAGUGCUCCUGAGAGCCUAUAGUACUGGAGUGAGCACGAGUGGCAGUCUAUUUGCAAAACCGGCCACUGGUGCUGCAUCGGUGCUCCUGGAUCCAGCACCAGUGGCCGGUUUAUGCCACCAACCGCCACCCAUGCUCCUCAGUGCCUAUAGCACUGGAGCGAGCACCUUGGUUCUUCAUUUUUUUCACAUUGCAUUUUCAUUUUGAAACCAUGUAGGUAGAUCUCUUAAAAACCAUCCAACCCCAUGAACCAAAUGUGACAUGUUUUUUUUGUUUGAACUUGAAUUUUUUUUAUGGGUGUUCUGUAGCAAUCUGGAAGUGUCCACACCAAAUUUGACAAUGUUCUGAGAAAAAUUGAAUUUUAUAGAAUUUUUAUAGCACAGAAGCCACACAUAAUGACACUUAAUCAUAGAAAUUAGGGUAUAUAACAUUUGAAUUUAUGGUUCAGAAGUUUAUUGUUAAUAAACAAUCUUAUUAUACACAUAAAAGAACAGGUGGUGUAUUUAUUUAAAACCGAGAGAAUAUAUUAUGAAUUUAAUAGCUUAUUGGAAAUUCGUCACCAGCGGCGGUUUUUGUCGUGAGAACCGCCCCUGAUAUAAGGUACACAAACUUAAGGUCUCCAAUGCUCCUGCGUAUCAUAUCAGUGGAUGGUUUUUUUGCCAGCACCACCACUAGUGCUCGAUGCUAGUGGCGAUUCCCUGCGUAUCCACCGCCACUAGUGCUCCUCCGCACAAGGGGAAUUUUUGCGCCAGCACUAGUGGCGGUUUGCUGCGUUUUCACCGCCACAAGUGCUUCAUGCUAGUGGC
This 823-nucleotide long non-coding RNA is filed under the name Brachypodium distachyon (stiff brome). Its description in RNAcentral is "long non-coding RNA (BDIS_LNC004393)". Lineage: Eukaryota; Viridiplantae; Streptophyta; Magnoliopsida; Poales; Poaceae. The record is from RNAcentral.